RNAcentral lists this ribosomal RNA (496 nucleotides) under uncultured bacterium. Its description in RNAcentral is "partial 16S ribosomal RNA". It matches the Rfam family "Bacterial small subunit ribosomal RNA", at positions 28 to 506 of the family's 1533-position model. The record is from RNAcentral.
GAUGAACGCUGGCGGCGUGCCUAAUACAUGCAAGUCGAGCGAACAGACGAGGAGCUUGCUCCUCUGACGUUAGCGGCGGACGGGUGAGUAACACGUGGAUAACCUACCUAUAAGACUGGGAUAACUUCGGGAAACCGGAGCUAAUACCGGAUAAUAUAUUGAACCGCAUGGUUCAAUAGUGAAAGACGGUUUUGCUGUCACUUAUAGAUGGAUGCGCGCCGCAUUAGCUAGUUGGUAAGGUAACGGCUUACCAAGGCAACGAUGCGUAGCCGACCUGAGAGGGUGAUCGGCCACACUGGAACUGAGACACGGUCCAGACUCCUACGGGAGGCAGCAGUAGGGAAUCUUCCACAAUGGGCGAAAGCCUGACGGAGCAACGCCGCGUGAGUGAUGAAGGUCUUCGGAUCGUAAAACUCUGUUAUUAGGGAAGAACAAAUGUGUAAGUAACUAUGCACGUCUUGACGGUACCUAAUCAGAAAGCCACGGCUAACUACGU